AAAAGAUUAAUUAAUAUUUAUAAUAAAAGUAUGUCAAACUUUAUUUACCUUUAGAAGGUAUCUUUUA
Molecule: transfer RNA, 67 nt
Filed under: Anoplodactylus australis
Lineage: Eukaryota; Metazoa; Arthropoda; Pycnogonida; Pantopoda; Phoxichilidiidae
Description: tRNA-Asp
Source: RNAcentral